RNAcentral lists this ribosomal RNA (1586 nucleotides) under Yarrowia lipolytica. RNAcentral's name for it is "SSU rRNA". It matches the Rfam family "Eukaryotic small subunit ribosomal RNA". The record is from RNAcentral. Lineage: Eukaryota; Fungi; Ascomycota; Dipodascomycetes; Dipodascales.
UCCUGGUUGAUCCUGCCAGUAGUCAUAUGCUUGUCUCAAAGACUAGGCCAUGCAUGUCUAAGUAUAAACAAUUAUACAGUGGAAACUGCGAACGGCUCAUUAAAUCAGUUAUCGUUUAUUUGAUAGUUUUCUACAUGGAUAACCGUGAUAACUUCAAAUUAAUACAUGACAGCCUUCUGGCGUAUAUAAUUGAAUACAAACCAACAGUGGUGAUUCAUAAUAUCUUGUCAGGGCCGGUCUUCGGUGUAUCAUUCCAAAUUUCUGCCCUAUCAGCUGUCGAUGGUGGGAUCAUUGGCCUACCAUGGUAACAACGGGUAACGGGGAAUCAGGGUUCUAUUCCGGAGGAGCCUGAGAAACGGCUACCACAUCCAAGAAGGCAGGCGCAAAUUGCUAAUCCUGACACAGGGAGGGUAGUGACAAUAUAUAACGAAUCGGGGCUCUUUGAGUUUCGGAAUUGGAAUAGUGAAUUGAACACCUUAACGAGGAACAAUUGGAGGGAGCAAGUCUGGUGCCAGCAGCCGCAGUAAUUCAACUCCAAUAGCGUAUAUAUUAAUGUUGUUGCAGUUAAAACAAGUAGUUGAAAUUGGGCGGGCUAUUGGUUUUAGGCCGCUUCAGGAAGAACUUCUUCCAGUUACUUUGAAAAAAUUGAGUAAUUCAACGCAGGUUUCGCCUGAAUAUAUUAGCGGAAUAACAUAACGACGAGGGUCCAUUUGUUGGCUUGCAAGCCCAUAUUGAUUAAUAGGGACAGUCAGGGCGUCGGUAUUGUGUGUUGUCAGAGGUGAAAUUCUUGGAUUUACACAAGACUAACUACUGCGAAGGCAUUCAUAAGGAUGUAUUCAUUAAUCAAGAACGAAAGUUGGGGAUCAAAAGAUGAUCAAGAUACCGUCGUAGUCUUAACCGUAAACUAUGCCGACUGAGGAAUGGAACCGCUUAUACGGUAUCCGCGCUCUACAAUCAAAGUGAUCAGGUUCUGGGGAGUAUGGUCGCAAGGCUGGAAACUUAAAGGGAAUUGGAAGGGCACCACCAGGGUGGAGCCUGCGGCAAUUGACUCAGGGAAACUCACCAGGUCCAGACUACAAUAGAUUGACAGAUUGAUAGCUCUUUCUUGAUUUUAUUAGUUGGUGGUGCAUGGCCGUUCUUAGUUGGUGGAGUGAUUUGUCUGCUUAAUUGCGAUAACAGGCGAGACCUUGACCUACUAAAUAGCUCUACGCGGAGUUGCAGGUAGCUAGCUUCUUAGAAGGGACUAUCUAUUACAAGUAGAUGGAAGUUCGAAGAGGCAAUAGCUGGGUCUGAUGCCUUGAGCGUUCUGGAGCCGCACGCGCGCUACACUGACGGAGCCAGCGAGUCGACCAAGCCGGAAGGGCUAGGUAAUCUUAUUGAAACUCCGUCGUGCUGGGGAUGAGAGCAUUGCAAUUAUUGCUCUUCAACGAGGAAUUCCUAGUAAGCGCAAGUCGAUAAAGCUUUUACGUUGAUUACGUCCCUGCUGGCCGCACACCGCCGUCGCUACUACCGAUUGAAUGGUUGGUGAGACGGGGAGGGCGAGAUGAAAUCAACAAGGUUCGUGGGUGAACCUGGAAGGAUCAUUA